Molecule: ribosomal RNA, 439 nt
Filed under: uncultured bacterium
Lineage: Bacteria
Description: partial 16S ribosomal RNA
Rfam family: Bacterial small subunit ribosomal RNA
Source: RNAcentral
CUACGGGUCGCUGCAGUGGGGAAUCUUGCACAAUGGGCGAAAGCCUGAUGCAGCCAUGCCGCGUGAAUGAUGAAGGCCUUAGGGUUGUAAAAUUCUUUCGCUAGGGAUGAUAAUGACAGUACCUAGUAAAGAAGCCCCGGCUAACUUCGUACCAGCAGCCGCGGUGAUACGAAGGGGGCUAGCGUUGUUCGGAAUUACUGGGCGUAAAGCGCACGUAGGCGGGUUUUUAAGUCAGAUGUGAAAUCCCAAGGCUCAACCUUGGAACUGCAUUUGAAACUGGAAGCCUAGAGUCCGGGAGAGGUUUGUGGAAUACCGAGUGUAGAGGUGAAAUUCGUAGAUAUUCGGUGGAACACCAGUGGCGAAGGCGACAAACUGGACCGGUACUGACGCUGAGGUGCGAAAGCGUGGGGAGCAAACAGGAUUAGAUACCCCAGUAGUC